RNAcentral lists this ribosomal RNA (678 nucleotides) under Arthrobacter psychrolactophilus. RNAcentral describes it as "bacterial SSU rRNA". It matches the Rfam family "Bacterial small subunit ribosomal RNA", at positions 55 to 737 of the family's 1533-position model. Lineage: Bacteria; Bacillati; Actinomycetota; Actinomycetes; Micrococcales; Micrococcaceae. The record is from RNAcentral.
AUGCAGUCGAACGAUGAACCCCGCUUGCGGGGGGAUUAGUGGCGAACGGGUGAGUAACACGUGAGUAACCUGCCCUUAACUCUGGGAUAAGCCUUGGAAACGGGGUCUAAUACUGGAUAUUGACUUUUCCUCGCAUGGGGAUUGGUUGAAAGAUUUAUUGGUUUUGGAUGGACUCGCGGCCUAUCAGCUUGUUGGUGAGGUAAUGGCUCACCAAGGCGACGACGGGUAGCCGGCCUGAGAGGGUGACCGGCCACACUGGGACUGAGACACGGCCCAGACUCCUACGGGAGGCAGCAGUGGGGAAUAUUGCACAAUGGGCGAAAGCCUGAUGCAGCGACGCCGCGUGAGGGAUGACGGCCUUCGGGUUGUAAACCUCUUUCAGUAGGGAACAAGGCCAGUGUUUAGCUGGUUGAGGGUACUUGCAGAAGAAGCGCCGGCUAACUACGUGCCAGCAGCCGCGGUAAUACGUAGGGCGCAAGCGUUAUCCGGAAUUAUUGGGCGUAAAGAGCUCGUAGGCGGUUUGUCGCGUCUGCCGUGAAAGUCCGGGGCUCAACCCCGGAUCUGCGGUGGGUACGGGCAGACUAGAGUGAUGUAGGGGAGACUGGAAUUCCUGGUGUAGCGGUGAAAUGCGCAGAUAUCAGGAGGAACACCGAUGGCGAAGGCAGGUCUCUGGGCAUU